AUUGGUCUUUAUCUAUGACUCAGCGGCGCUGGACGUGAAAGAGAGCAUGCAAGCCGCCAUUUUCUCAGCAUCUUCAGAUGGAAGCGAGUGAAAGACGGUUUAUGAACUCAAACCAACUUUGGAGUUGUCUGAUUUGGAGAGUCAUCAUUCUUGGUCUUCCUUUCUUAAAGGAAUAGUUCACACAAAAAAAUCAUUUGCUGAUGGGUCUUCAUCAUGACUACAUCAGUUAUGCUGAAGAGAUCAUGAACACUGGCAGUGAUGCAUGAUCUGUAUUCAUGGACUAUGAAACAAACUUGAGUGUGUGUGUGUGUUCACCUGCGCAGCCCAGCAGGUCGCAGACGCUGAUGAUGAAGAGGAUCCGGAGCGAGGAGGCUGGUUUGUGUGGAGGAGCGUGUCUGAAGGGCCGGUGUUUGGGCAGCAGCUGGAGGCCGGUGAGAGCGAGGCUCAGA
Onychostoma macrolepis is the source of this 449-nucleotide long non-coding RNA. RefSeq lists it as uncharacterized. Lineage: Eukaryota; Metazoa; Chordata; Actinopteri; Cypriniformes; Cyprinidae. The transcript has 3 exons. The record is from RefSeq and is a predicted model, not a curated record.